Molecule: long non-coding RNA, 825 nt
Organism: Ipomoea nil (Japanese morning glory)
Lineage: Eukaryota; Viridiplantae; Streptophyta; Magnoliopsida; Solanales; Convolvulaceae
Exons: 3
Source: RefSeq, a predicted model, not a curated record
CACCAUCUCUCUUUAUGUUUACUCUCUAUUUCCCUUCUCUUUACCAUAAAUCACUUUGUGGAUUUUUCUAGGUAUCAUCACUAACUAACCAUAUGCGACGGAGGAUGAUCCGAGUGCCUUCCGGGCCGACGAGGUGUACGAUUUCUCUGCCCCGAGAUCCUGCGACUUCGCUCACGGAGUCACGGUGAGUCUGAGGAAGAUGCAACCAAGGCUGAGCUCUAGUUCAAGAUGAAGCAACCUUUCUUGUUCAAUCACUACUCAUCGACAGUACUGCCGAGUAAGAUGCUGCUUUGGCACAGCUUGAGUUAGAGAAGAGAUUGGCUUUGAUCAAAGAUUGGGAAGAGAAUGAGAAAGAUAAAGCUGAUAACAAGUAUGAUUCCCCUCCCUGCCAUUCCUGGCUUUUUAUUUACUUUAAUUUAAUUUUCCACUUGUUUUAAUUUGGUGUUGAAUUUUAAAUUUUAUCAAGUACAUAGAAAGUGUAUAAUACUGAAUAAUCACGUACAUUAUAUUUAACAAUGAUGAUCCGGGCGCACAAAAAGUUGUCUGCUAUUGCAGCAUGGGAGAACACUAAGAAGGCUUCUGUUGAUGCUCAACUGAAGGAAAUUGGGGUAAUAAAACAUGGAAGUUUGAGACACUUAUUAUUUUUUUCUUACAAUUGCUAAUGGUACAGUUAUCAGUCAAAGAUCAAAUUUUUUCUUUCAGGGAUAGAUAGGGUUUAUGGUUUAAUUCCAGAUGCUUUUUCAUAUUUGUCUUUAGCUAGUUUCCUUUGAGAAUUUUGAUGUUGAGUUCUUUUUAUUUUAAAUUAAAAUUUAAUCAUUAGUGUCA